UACGUAGGGGGCGAGCGUUGUCCGAAGUUACUGGGCGUAAAGCGCGCGUAGGCGGGGGAUUAAGUGAGAGGUGAAAGGCUGGGGCUCAACCUCAUGCAGUGCCUCUCAUACUGGUUCUCUUGAGGGCGGUAGGGAGAAGUGGAAUGGCCGGUGUAGCGGUGAAAUGCGUAGAGAUCGGAAAGAACACCAACGGCGAAAGCACUCUGCUGGGCCGACACUGACACUGAGAGACGAAAGCUAGGGGAGCGAAUGGG
This 254-nucleotide ribosomal RNA is filed under the name uncultured bacterium. Its description in RNAcentral is "partial 16S ribosomal RNA". It matches the Rfam family "Bacterial small subunit ribosomal RNA", at positions 524 to 776 of the family's 1533-position model. The record is from RNAcentral.